AUUGAACGCAUGCGGUAGGCCGAACACAUGCAAGUCGAGCGAGAGGAGGAAGGGGAAGUAAUGGAUGGGGACUGCCCGAUAGAGGGGGAUAACUACUGGUAACGGUAGCUAAUACCGCAUGCUAGCGGAUAACACAGAUGGGAUUAGCUAGUGGGUGAGGUAAUGGCUCACCAAGGCGACGAGCCCGAGCUGGUCUGAGAGGAUGAUCAGCCCCACUGGGACUGUGACACGGCCCAGACUCCUACGGAGGCAGCAGUGGGGACGAUUGCCCCAUGGACGCAAGUCUGAUGCAGCCAUGCCGCGUGUAUGAAGCAGGCCCUAGGGUUGUAAAGUACUUUCAGUCGGGAGGCGUUACCGACUGAAGUAGCACCGGCUAGCUCCGUGCCAGCCGCCGCGGUAAUUC
This 403-nucleotide ribosomal RNA is filed under the name uncultured bacterium. RNAcentral describes it as "partial 16S ribosomal RNA". It matches the Rfam family "Bacterial small subunit ribosomal RNA", at positions 30 to 526 of the family's 1533-position model. The record is from RNAcentral.